This 617-nucleotide ribosomal RNA is filed under the name bacterium AIR-NUS-09. Its description in RNAcentral is "bacterial SSU rRNA". It matches the Rfam family "Bacterial small subunit ribosomal RNA", at positions 79 to 683 of the family's 1533-position model. The record is from RNAcentral.
UGCUCCUUUGACGUUAGCGGCGGACGGGUGAGUAACACGUGGAUAACCUACCUAUAAGACUGGGAUAACUUCGGGAAACCGGAGCUAAUACCGGAUAAGAUUUUGAACCGCAUGGUUCAAUAGUGAAAGACGGCCUUGCUGUCACUUAUAGAUGGAUCCGCGCCGUAUUAGCUAGUUGGUAAGGUAACGGCUUACCAAGGCAACGAUACGUAGCCGACCUGAGAGGGUGAUCGGCCACACUGGAACUGAGACACGGUCCAGACUCCUACGGGAGGCAGCAGUAGGGAAUCUUCCGCAAUGGGCGAAAGCCUGACGGAGCAACGCCGCGUGAGUGAUGAAGGUCUUCGGAUCGUAAAACUCUGUUAUCAGGGAAGAACAAACGUGUAAGUAACUGUGCACGUCUUGACGGUACCUGAUCAGAAAGCCACGGCUAACUACGUGCCAGCAGCCGCGGUAAUACGUAGGUGGCAAGCGUUAUCCGGAAUUAUUGGGCGUAAAGCGCGCGUAGGCGGUUUUUUAAGUCUGAUGUGAAAGCCCACGGCUCAACCGUGGAGGGUCAUUGGAAACUGGAAAACUUGAGUGCAGAAGAGGAAAGUGGAAUUCCAUGUGUAGCGGUG